Molecule: long non-coding RNA, 545 nt
Organism: Rhagoletis pomonella (apple maggot)
Lineage: Eukaryota; Metazoa; Arthropoda; Insecta; Diptera; Tephritidae
Exons: 3
Source: RefSeq, a predicted model, not a curated record
GAAAUUGAAUCUACCGUGGAUGACGCCAUCGCCAGUGGUAGGCCAAAGCUACAUCCGAGAGUGCGUAGCACAGUUCGUAGUCAACUUGUCUUGCUUAACUAUUGCACGAAUGACGUCACUCCAUAAUCUCUUUAAAUUUUUGCACGUGGACAGUCAAGCAGAUCGCAGGAUAGGAAAAGUACUAUCACAGCAAAUCAAAAGCAAUAUAUUGUUUUCAAUAAACUGCCGAUAAAGUUCGAGCUAAUUGAGAAUUGCCCAUAUGAGUAAGAAAAACACUUAAUUGCGACUUUUUUGAAAAAAGAUUUAUUGAAUAUUGGAAAAUAAAUAUAUCGUCGCCGCGCCAACAAAAACAGUUGUGUUUUUUUAAUAACUUUUCAGGAGAGCAAAAAAACUGAUUCCUAGUGCCAAUAGACAAUAUUUUGCAAAUUUCGUCUUAAAAAGGAUCAGUCCAGAGCCUUCGUCUUGACCUGGCUCCGCCACAGCCGCUAAGCUUAAACGCAGAAUACAUGUACAUGAAAUAUUCGUUUUGAUUGUAUUGAACUAAA